AAGAUUUUAGUUUAAAAUUAAAACAUUAACUUGUCAAGUUAAAAAUAUUUAAAUAAAAAUAAACCUUA
Molecule: transfer RNA, 68 nt
Filed under: Sastragala edessoides
Lineage: Eukaryota; Metazoa; Arthropoda; Insecta; Hemiptera; Acanthosomatidae
Also listed under: 2 other names
Description: tRNA-Asp
Source: RNAcentral